This 275-nucleotide ribosomal RNA is filed under the name Citrobacter koseri. Its description in RNAcentral is "partial 23S ribosomal RNA". It matches the Rfam family "Bacterial large subunit ribosomal RNA", at positions 1 to 277 of the family's 2925-position model. Lineage: Bacteria; Pseudomonadati; Pseudomonadota; Gammaproteobacteria; Enterobacterales; Enterobacteriaceae. The record is from RNAcentral.
GGUUAAGCGACCAAGCGUACACGGUGGAUGCCCUGGCAGUCAGAGGCGAUGAAGGACGUGCUAAUCUGCGAAAAGCGCCGGCGAGGUGAUAUGAACCCUUGACCCGGCGAUGUCCGAAUGGGGAAACCCAGUGUGAUUCGUCACACUAUCGUUAGCUGAAUACAUAGGCUAACGAGGCGAACCGGGGGAACUGAAACAUCUAAGUACCCCGAGGAAAAGAAAUCAACCGAGAUUCCCCCAGUAGCGGCGAGCGAACGGGGAGGAGCCCAGAGCCU